Molecule: long non-coding RNA, 682 nt
Filed under: Rattus norvegicus (Norway rat)
Lineage: Eukaryota; Metazoa; Chordata; Mammalia; Rodentia; Muridae
Description: long non-coding RNA NONRATT006368
Source: RNAcentral
UCCUGGGCCAGCUUAGGGAACAUGUUUGGGAAGUAGGACCUUGGAAUACAAGGUCCCUGACUGACCCUUGCUUGCUGCUGGUCCCAGUAGUGGGUCUCCUGGGGAACUGCUGGCUGGCCAGAGGAACGGGAGAACAGCUCAGGAAGGGAGGGAGGUGAUACGCUGAGUCAGCAUGACUCGCCAGGAACAGGGCGCUCUGGGGCAGCACUGGGGUUAUUUUUAAAGCUCAGCUUCCUUCUAGGCUUGCCCCUCCUGCAGCCCAGACCUUCUAAUCUCUCUCUGCUCCCUUUGUCUUCUGCCUUCACAUCGCUGCUGCUUCUUCCCUGGGAAAAAAAUCUCCCCGACCUCCCACCUGGCUCUCUAGGGAAAGGGCCUUCUGAAGCAGCCAAGCUCAGGUCAGGUGAGGGCAGGGUUCUGUGGGCUGAGCACUAGGCAGCAAGCUUCCCUUUGGGGUGUAAGAGUCUCAGGGUCCUGAUCUCUGCUCUGUGUCUUGCAGAGUGCCUGCUCACUGUGUCCCCCGGGUUAUGACGACCCCCAAUAAAGGAAACAAGGCCUUAAAGGUGAAGCGGGAGCCAGGCGAGAAUGGCACCAGCUUGACUGAUGAGGAGCUGGUGACCAUGUCGGUGCGAGAGUUGAACCAGCACCUGCGAGGCCUAUCCAAGGAAGAGAUUAUCCAGCUGAA